Long non-coding RNA from Leptinotarsa decemlineata (Colorado potato beetle), 479 nucleotides. RefSeq lists it as uncharacterized. Lineage: Eukaryota; Metazoa; Arthropoda; Insecta; Coleoptera; Chrysomelidae. The record is from RefSeq and is a predicted model, not a curated record.
AUAACGCAGCUCAGGCUACAAACGAACAAACCGAAACAUAACCAACAAAUGUGAUUUCAUACAUAACACAAACUCUCAAAUCUCAUAAAUUGAAAUAAAGUUGCAGAAACUUCUAAUAUUACUGGAGGAUACUACAUUUGGAAACCAGUUUUUACAACAAAUAUUUCAAAAUCCACCCCGAACGUUCCGAUUCCAUCCUCAGCUUCUGAGCAAUAAUAUAUAUGAAAUGUCUUGGCAUGAAUCUUUCGCUGCCAGACAAUCUGGUAAAAGUAGAUGGCUGGUGGUAUCUACAGUCGGAUUCUCACUCGGCAUAAUACUUUCCUAUACUUACUUAUACAAGCCUUUCGUGAAGAGAAAGAGAUACAAGGAAGCUGAGGAUUUUGCGAAUUACAUUUAUGAAAAUGAGAGGAAGAAGUUAGCCGAAGAAAGAUAAAUGUAAAGAUAUUUUUGUAGAAAGAGCAAAUAAAUAGUUAUGCCAG